CUGACUGCUAUCGGAUUGAUACUAAGCCAUGCGAGUCAUUGUAGCAAUACAAGGCAGACGGCUCAGUAACGCGUAGUCAACCUAACCUAUGGACGGGAAUAACCUCGGGAAACUGAGAAUAAUGCCCGAUAGAACACUAUGCCUGGAAUGGUUUGUGUUCCAAAUGAUUUAUCGCCGUAGGAUGGGACUGCGGCCUAUCAGUUUGUUGGUGAGGUAAUGGCCCACCAAGACUAUUACAGGUACGGGCUCUGAGAGGAGUAGCCCGGAGAUGGGUACUGAGACACGGACCCAGGCCCUAUGGGGCGCAGCAGGCGAGAAAACUUUGCAAUGUGCGAAAGCACGACAAGGUUAAUCCGAGUGGUUUGUGCUAAACGAACCUUUUGUCGGUCCUAGAAACACCGAUGAAUAAGGGGUGGGCAAGUUCUGGUGUCAGCCGCCGCGGUAAAACCAGCACCUCAAGUGGUCAGGAUGAUUAUUGGGCCUAAAGCAUCCGUAGCCGGCGCUAUAAGUUUUCGGUUAAAUCUGUACGCCCAACGUACAGGCUGCCGGGAAUACUGUAGCGCUAGGGAGUGGGAGAGGUAGACGGUACUCGGUAGGAAAGGGGUAAAAUCCUUUGAUCUAUUGAUGACCACCUGUGGCGAAGGCGGUCUACCAGAACACGUCCGACGGUGAGGGAUGAAAGCUGGGGGAGCAAACCGGAUUAGAUACCCGGGUAGUCCCAGCUGUAAACUAUGCAAACUCAGUGAUGCAUU
This 752-nucleotide ribosomal RNA is filed under the name uncultured marine archaeon. RNAcentral's name for it is "bacterial SSU rRNA". It matches the Rfam family "Archaeal small subunit ribosomal RNA", at positions 23 to 780 of the family's 1478-position model. The record is from RNAcentral.